CGUCACUGGCGGCGUGCUAUACAUGCAGUCGAGCGAACAGAUAAGGAGCUUGCUCCUUUGACGUUAGCGGCGGACGGGUGAGUAACACGUGGGUAACCUACCUAUAAGACUGGAAUAACUCCGGGAAACCGGGGCUAAUGCCGGAUAACAUUUAGAACCGCAUGGUUCUAAAGUGAAAGAUGGUUUUGCUAUCACUUAUAGAUGGACCCGCGCCGUAUUAGCUAGUUGGUAAGGUAAUGGCUUACCAAGGCAACGAUACGUAGCCGACCUGAGAGGGUGAUCGGCCACACUGGAACUGAGACACGGUCCAGACUCCUACGGGAGGCAGCAGUAGGGAAUCUUCCGCAAUGGGCGAAAGCCUGACGGAGCAACGCCGCGUGAGUGAUGAAGGGUUUCGGCUCGUAAAACUCUGUUAUUAGGGAAGAACAAACGUGUAAGUAACUGUGCACGUCUUGACGGUACCUAAUCAGAAAGCCACGGCUAACUACGUGCCAGCAGCCGCGGUAAUACGUAGGUGGCAAGCGUUAUCCGGAAUUAUUGGGCGUAAAGCGCGCGUAGGCGGUUUCUUAAGUCUGAUGUGAAAGCCCACGGCUCAACCGUGGAGGGUCAUUGGAAACUGGGAGACUUGAGUGCAAAAGAGGAAAGUGGAAUUCCAUGUGUAGCGGUGAAUGCGCAAGAUUAUGGAGGACACAGUGCGAAG
Molecule: ribosomal RNA, 700 nt
Filed under: Staphylococcus arlettae
Lineage: Bacteria; Bacillati; Bacillota; Bacilli; Caryophanales; Staphylococcaceae
Description: bacterial SSU rRNA
Rfam family: Bacterial small subunit ribosomal RNA
Source: RNAcentral